RNAcentral lists this transfer RNA (76 nucleotides) under Sorangium cellulosum. Its description in RNAcentral is "tRNA-Ala". The stretch from base 1 to 55 matches the Rfam family "tRNA", at positions 17 to 71 of the family's 71-position model. From Rfam's summary of the family: Transfer RNA (tRNA) molecules are approximately 80 nucleotides in length. Lineage: Bacteria; Pseudomonadati; Myxococcota; Polyangiales; Polyangiaceae. The record is from RNAcentral.
GGAGAGCGCCUGCCUUGCACGCAGGAGGUCAACGGUUCGAUCCCGUUUGGGCUCCACCAUUACUGCUUCUUUAUCG